RNAcentral lists this ribosomal RNA (441 nucleotides) under uncultured bacterium. Its description in RNAcentral is "partial 16S ribosomal RNA". It matches the Rfam family "Bacterial small subunit ribosomal RNA", at positions 338 to 795 of the family's 1533-position model. The record is from RNAcentral.
CCUACGGGUGGCAGCAGUCGGGAAUAUUGCGCAAUGGAGGAAACUCUGACGCAGUGACGCCGCGUAUAGGAAGAAGGUUUUCGGAUUGUAAACUAUUGUCGUUAGGGAAGAUAAAAGACUGUACCUAAGGAGGAAGCCCCGGCUAACUAUGUGCCAGCAGCCGCGGUAAUACAUAGGGGGCAAGCGUUAUCCGGAAUUGUUGGGUGUAAAGGGUGCGUAGACGGAGAAGCAAGUUAGUUGUGACAUCCCUCGGCUUAACUGAGGAACUGCAACUAAAACUACUUCCCUUGAGUACUGGAGAGGAAAGUGGAAUUCCUAGUGUAGCGGUGAAAUGCGUAGAUAUUAGGAGGAACACCAGGGGCGAAGGCGACUUUCUGGACAGUAACUGACGUUGAGGCACGAAAGUGUGGGGAGCAAACAGGAUUAGAUACCCUUGUAGUC